This 72-nucleotide transfer RNA is filed under the name Granulibacter bethesdensis CGDNIH1. It matches the Rfam family "tRNA". Rfam says of the family: Transfer RNA (tRNA) molecules are approximately 80 nucleotides in length. Their secondary structure includes four short double-helical elements and three loops (D, anti-codon, and T loops). Lineage: Bacteria; Pseudomonadati; Pseudomonadota; Alphaproteobacteria; Acetobacterales; Acetobacteraceae. The record is from Rfam by way of RNAcentral.
GCUGUUGUAGCUCAGGGGUAGAGCACUCCCUUGGUAAGGGAGAGGUCCAGGGUUCAAAUCCCUGCAACAGCA